AAUCCAUUUGUUUCAGGAUUUCUAGAAAACUGUUUCGGUAUAAUAUCUAUAUCUCUUAUGUUAUAACUCCGAUUUUAAAUAUUUUAGUGUCAUUAGAAAGGGAAUUUGAUUUUCUAAAACUUUUAUGAAGAGAGUAUUCUCUGAUUUGGAAUAUUUCAGUAUCAAAACUUUGUAUUUCCGAUGUCUCCUGUGAUUCGUUACUCCAUAUUCCUUCUCAGAAAUAGUUUCAGUAAAACUAUCAUAACUCCCUCAGUUUUAAUCCAUUUUUAAUGAUCUAUAUAUCGUUGGAAAGAUAAUUGAAUUUCCUAUAAUUUUUAUGAAGGAAACUUUUACUGAAUUCGUGUAGUUAUUGGUCAAAAAUAGUAUUCUUUCUGCUGUACUGUAAGAGUGUGAAUUUUAAUGUUAGGGCCUUGACCCAUGUGUUAUUAUAGGUAGUAGUGACGAGAUAACAAGUUUAAGCAGCGGGAUUUGAGGUAUUAGACAGGGAAGUAUGUAUAGUGAGCAGGGUCAGUUCUGGUACGUAUACUGUGAGCGGCUACGGGCGGACAAACGAUCUAGAACGCCAGUGGUGCCUUAGUUUUAUUUUAAGCAGUUGAUAAAUCUAACACAGUGGAAAUGCAUUAUUUAAAAUUAUUUACUUACUGUAUCUUGUUUUACAAAUGAAGGAUCCUUCUCUGUUGCAUUUUGAUUUUUUUUAAAAUCCACUGUUGUAUUUAAAUUA
This is a long non-coding RNA of Cannabis sativa, 721 nucleotides long. RefSeq lists it as uncharacterized. Lineage: Eukaryota; Viridiplantae; Streptophyta; Magnoliopsida; Rosales; Cannabaceae. The transcript is spliced from 2 exons. The record is from RefSeq and is a predicted model, not a curated record.